UUGUGCUGGCUGAUCAGUCAUCCUGUAGACAACGAAAAAAAGAACACGGUAAAAAAAAUGAACAUGAUAAAGAACAAAUGGCAUAAACAUAAGUCACAUACUCACAUCGCCUAAAUUCUCCUUCAAAUCCUAACUUAUCAUUCAUCUGUUAAAGAAGCGAUCUUAAAGAUCAAAUAUCAAGUCCUUAAACCUUGGGAUGUGCUCAUAAGCAAACACAAACAAAGAUCGAAAUAAUAUACUUGGUUCUCAAAAACCAAGCUCAAUAAGAGCUAACAAAUGUAUAGAAUUCCAUGACAAUAGUCUACUUGGUAAGAAAUCGAAAACAAUGACUGCAUAAAUCUACCACAAAGACUUUUAUUGAGAACUUGUGAUCACGAAAUGAGUGGCUUGAAAAUACUUACGAGUGGUUAUUAUAUUAAAUUCGAGAUUUUUCAAUCAAAAUUUAAAAACGCAUAAACCCAUCUGAACAUCUAAAAAAAUUGAACUUCUGAUAAACCCUAAGAAACAUCAGACGACUUAAAACCCUGAAUCUCAAAACCCUGACCUUAAAUUACGAAAUCUCAUCAAUAAGAUAACAACAACACCAAACUCAUAAGCCAAUUGGGUAACAAUUCAAUUCAACGAGCAAGCAAGCAAAUCAAAUCUGCGAAAAAUGUUCCCUUUUUUUCCUUUGCAGCAUCUUACAAUUCUCGACAUAAAAUUCUCAAAAAGAGGAAAAAGAAAAAAGAAACCUUUGAAUGAAUUUGCAGAGGAA
Arabidopsis thaliana (thale cress) is the source of this 754-nucleotide long non-coding RNA. RefSeq annotates it as other RNA. The record is from RefSeq. The transcript has a single exon. NCBI's taxonomy places the organism in Eukaryota, Viridiplantae, Streptophyta, Magnoliopsida, Brassicales, Brassicaceae.